RNAcentral lists this ribosomal RNA (1007 nucleotides) under human gut metagenome. RNAcentral describes it as "bacterial LSU rRNA". It matches the Rfam family "Bacterial large subunit ribosomal RNA", at positions 1924 to 2925 of the family's 2925-position model. The record is from RNAcentral.
UAAACGGCGGUGGUAACUAUAACCAUCCUAAGGUAGCGAAAUUCCUUGUCGGGUAAGUUCCGACCUGCACGAAUGGCGUAAUGAUGGCCAGGCUGUCUCCACCCGAGACUCAGUGAAAUUGAACUCGCUGUGAAGAUGCAGUGUACCCGCGGCAAGACGGAAAGACCCCGUGAACCUUUACUAUAGCUUGACACUGAACAUUGAGCCUUGAUGUGUAGGAUAGGUGGGAGGCUUUGAAGUGUGGACGCCAGUCUGCAUGGAGCCGACCUUGAAAUACCACCCUUUAAUGUUUGAUGUUCUAACGUUGGCCCGUUAUCCGGGUUGCGGACAGUGUCUGGUGGGUAGUUUGACUGGGGCGGUCUCCUCCUAAAGAGUAACGGAGGAGCACGAAGGUUGGCUAAUCCUGGUCGGACAUCAGGAGGUUAGUGCAAUGGCAUAAGCCAGCUUGACUGCGAGCGUGACGGCGCGAGCAGGUGCGAAAGCAGGUCAUAGUGAUCCGGUGGUUCUGAAUGGAAGGGCCAUCGCUCAACGGAUAAAAGGUACUCCGGGGAUAACAGGCUGAUACCGCCCAAGAGUUCAUAUCGACGGCGGUGUUUGGCACCUCGAUGUCGGCUCAUCACAUCCUGGGGCUGAAGUAGGUCCCAAGGGUAUGGCUGUUCGCCAUUUAAAGUGGUACGCGAGCUGGGUUUAGAACGUCGUGAGACAGUUCGGUCCCUAUCUGCCGUGGGCGCUGGAGAACUGAGGGGGGCUGCUCCUAGUACGAGAGGACCGGAGUGGACGCAUCACUGGUGUUCGGGUUGUCAUGCCAAUGGCACUGCCCGGUAGCUAAAUGCGGAAGAGAUAAGUGCUGAAAGCAUCUAAGCACGAAACUUGCCCCGAGAUGAGUUCUCCCUGACUCCCUGAGAGUCCUGAAGGAACGUUGAAGACGACGACGUUGAUAGGCCGGGUGUGUAAGCGCAGCGAUGCGUUGAGCUAACCGGUACUAAUGAACCGUGAGGCUUAACCUU